RNAcentral lists this long non-coding RNA (575 nucleotides) under Capsella rubella. RNAcentral describes it as "long non-coding RNA (CRUB_LNC004723)". The record is from RNAcentral. Lineage: Eukaryota; Viridiplantae; Streptophyta; Magnoliopsida; Brassicales; Brassicaceae.
GGGGUGGGGAAUGGUAAACUGGGGGAGGAGAGUAGUGCUUAACCGGUGGUGGUGGAGAUUUGUAAACGUAGUGUUUCUUUGGUGGGGGUGGAGAAUGGUAAACUGGAGGGGGAGAAUAGUGCUUCACCGGAGGAGGAGGAGACUUGUAAACGUAAUGUUUCUUGGGUGGGGGUGGAGAGUGAUAAACCGGUGGGGGAGAGUAGUGCUUAACCGGAGGAGGUGGUGAUUUGUAGACGUAGUGUUUCUUUGGUGGUGGUGGGGAAUGGUAAACUGGGGGAGGAGAGUAAUGUUUGACCGGAGGAGGAGGAGAUUUGUAGACGUAGUGUUUCUUUGGUGGUGGUGGAGAAUGGUAAACUGGAGGGGGAGAGUAGUGCUUAACCGGAGGAGGAGGUGAUUUGUACACGUAGUGUUUCUUGGGUGGUGGUGGAGAGUGAUAAACCGGUGGGGGAGAGUAGUGUUUGACUGGAGGAGGAGGUGACUUGUACACGUAGUGUUUCUUUGGUGGGGGUGGAGAGUGAUAAACUGGUGGGGGAGAGUAGUGUUUAACCGGAGGAGGGGGAGACUUGUACACGUAG